AGUAGAUUUUUUUUUUUUUAAUUGUUAUUUGCAUGAAGUAUAUUGUAUUGGGCCAUGUGCAAUCAGUUUAUUAAUUGUCCAACCUUGAGAUGGAUGAAGAAAAAUGCGUUUUAGUAAUUCUUCCUGUGCAGUAAAAGGAUGUAUUUAACAUCCAUAUGAUUGUCUUACUGUUCUGAGAAAGUGUUUUUGGUUUUCCAUUUUUGUUUCAUUGUGAGCAAUGCAAUCAACUGGACAAUUAUGUGUGUGAUGAUUAAUCUCAAUGCUAAUGAGUGGAAGAAUGUGUUUCUGGGUUAAACCUUCCAUAUUUUUUCCAUGUAAAAAAAUUAGUAGAUGAUGUAUGAUUUCUUUGCAUGAGAUGACUGGUGACAGUAUUCUAAAUCUCCUGUCUUGUUUUGUUUCAGACGAUCGAGUGCCAAGUGAACUGA
This 425-nucleotide unclassified non-coding RNA is filed under the name Hevea brasiliensis (rubber tree). Lineage: Eukaryota; Viridiplantae; Streptophyta; Magnoliopsida; Malpighiales; Euphorbiaceae. The record is from RNAcentral.